GGGAGCGACUUGGCUUCGACAGGAGUAGAGUGGCUUAGGUGGCAUACCGCUUUGGACAAAGCGUUAAAAGUCCGACAAAAUUUAAACGCAAACAACGCGAAAUUCGCUCCUGCUUACGCUAAAAUCGCGUAGCGGUCGAGCCUUGCUGCUGGGCGAUACUAUCUAGCUUGGCGUGCGAGUAACCUUUUGAUAGUGUAGUUUAGGCGUUUGACGAGCGUUUGAGCGAAUUUUAGUCUCAGCCGUGCAAGCUGGCUUUGGAGAAUGAGCCUUGUGCGGUGAAGUUUUCAUUCUUGCUAAGUAUGUAGAUGCCUAUGACGGACUAUUUUUGGACAGGGGUUCGACACCCCUCGCUUCCACCA
This 359-nucleotide transfer-messenger RNA is filed under the name Campylobacteraceae. RNAcentral describes it as "Campylobacter_D sp900539255 Standard tmRNA". It matches the Rfam family "transfer-messenger RNA". From Rfam's summary of the family: Bacterial tmRNA, also known as 10Sa RNA or SsrA, is named for its dual tRNA and mRNA-like properties. The record is from RNAcentral. RNAcentral also lists the same sequence under 1 other name. Lineage: Bacteria; Pseudomonadati; Campylobacterota; Epsilonproteobacteria; Campylobacterales.